UAAAAAAAAGAAAACCUGCUUUCGCAGGUCCCUUCUAUAUUUAGUCUACACUAAACAGAAGGUAAAGGGAGAGGAGAAACCGGAGGAAGAACUUAUGGGGAAAAGUAAGUCUUCUUC
Molecule: non-coding RNA, 117 nt
Filed under: mouse gut metagenome
Also listed under: 1 other name
Description: ylbH leader
Rfam family: ylbH leader
About the family: This family is a putative regulatory RNA structure that is found upstream of the ylbH gene in B. subtilis and related low GC Gram-positive bacteria.
Source: RNAcentral